This 832-nucleotide ribosomal RNA is filed under the name uncultured bacterium. RNAcentral describes it as "bacterial SSU rRNA". It matches the Rfam family "Bacterial small subunit ribosomal RNA", at positions 56 to 883 of the family's 1533-position model. The record is from RNAcentral.
UGCAGUCGGACGACAGGCGAGGAAUCCGCAAGGAGGAAUCGUGCUGAGUGGCGAACGGGUGAGUAAGACAUGGGGACGUACCCUCAAGAGGGGGAUAGCAUUCCGAAAGGGAUGGUAAUACCCCGUAAGCUCGAGAGAGGGAAGGUGCAACAGCACCGCUUGAGGAGCGACUCAUGGCCCAUCAGUUAGUUGGUGAGGUAAAGGCCCACCAAGGCUAUGACGGGUAGCUGGUCUGAGAGGAUGGUCAGCCACACUGGGACUGAGACACGGCCCAGACUCCUACGGGAGGCAGCAGUGGGGAAUUUUUCCCAAUGGGCGAAAGCCUGAGGGAGCGACGCCGCGUGGAGGAAGGAGUCUUUCGAGAUGUAAACUCCUGUUGUAAGGGAGCAAGGGUAUAUGUAGUGGAAAGGCAUAUACUCGGAUAGUACCUUACGAGGAAGCCCCGGCUAACUACGUGCCAGCAGCCGCGGUAAUACGUAGGGGGCGAGCGUUGUCCGGAGUUACUGGGCGUAAAGGGUGCGUAGGUGGCCGAUAAAGUCAAUUGUGAAAUUCCACGGCUCAACUGUGGGAGUGCGGUUGAAACUAAUCGGCUUGAGGUCAGGUCAGGAAGAUGGAAUUGUCAGUGUAGGGGUGAAAUCCGUAGAUAUUGGCAAGAACGCCGGUGGUGAAGACGGUCUUCUGGGCUGAUACUGACACUGAGGCACGAAAGCUAGGGGAGCGAACGGGAUUAGAUACCCCGGUAGUCCUAGCCGUAAACGAUGUUCACUGAGUAUGGGAGGCGUUAGCCAUCCGUGCUGAAGCAAACGCGUUAAGUGAACCGCCUGGGGAGUAC